This 290-nucleotide long non-coding RNA is filed under the name Hordeum vulgare. RNAcentral's name for it is "long non-coding RNA (HVUL_LNC008626)". The record is from RNAcentral. Lineage: Eukaryota; Viridiplantae; Streptophyta; Magnoliopsida; Poales; Poaceae.
UGCAAUACAUACAUCAAGUGUUCUUAAAGACUCAAUCCGAUAAGAUAACUCCAAAGGGAAAACUCAAUUCAUUACAAGAAGGGAGAGGGGGAAGAACAUCAUAGGAUCCAACUAUAGUAGCAAAGCCCGCGGUACAUCGAGAUCAUGACAUCUCAAGAACACGAGAGAGAGAUUUCAAACACAUAGCUACUGGUACAUACCCUCAGCCCCGAGGGAGAACUGCUCCCUCCUCGUCAUGGAGAUCGUCGGGAUGAUGAAGAUGGCCACCGGAGAUGGAUUCCCCCUCCAGU